Long non-coding RNA from Cyprinus carpio carpio, 1695 nucleotides. NCBI's taxonomy places the organism in Eukaryota, Metazoa, Chordata, Actinopteri, Cypriniformes, Cyprinidae. The record is from Ensembl.
AUGGACCAAAUCCUCUUGGAUAAAACCCCAAUGCCUGAACUAAUUCAGCGCACGCUUCCUUCUUCGCCAUGGCUUGAACUACCUACUCCGACGCUGCUAGCGUUCUUGUCAUCCAGAACUCAAAACACUCUGACUGCCAAGAAUCUUCGAAGUCUUGUAAACCGCGAAACUAUCCGAAGGAAUUCCGAAGCUCUACGUAACCAGGCAACCAACCAAUCACCAGGAGGGUUUUCCCAAAAGACGUCAUCCAAACGACAGAUCUGCAACCAACCCGAGGCCUCUACGUAACCAGGCAACCAACCAAUCACCAGGAGGGUUGUUCCCAAAAGACGUCAUCCAAACGACAGAUCUGCAACCAACCCGAGGCGUGGGGAUUCCCUGAGACGAGGCAACAAGCGAAUCUCCAACUCCGCUUUUCAGCGCAAAUGCAAGUAAAACAAACAAACUUCAUUCCUUGCUGAAAUAAGUGCAGAUUGAUCUUAAGCAGUAAAGAUAAGACACAUCUCUGCUUUUGUGAUUUUCUUGGUGCGAUCUAACGAAUAACUUACUCCUGGGACUUCAUUCAAAUUCCGUUAUCAUCCUCUUCAGUAACUGUGUGUGUGUAUGUACGUGUGUGUGUAUGUAUGUGUAUGUCCAUUAGGUUUUAGAUCCAUGUAAUAGAGUAGCUCAAUAAAUUCUUGUUUCAUUUAUAAAGAAGUAUUGUCUUGUGUGGUGUAUUUUAAGAUUAAACUUUGCCCAGAUCCUAUGCUACCUAGCUAGUAGUUUAUAAAUUAUCAUUCUGUUUGUAUUCUCAUUAAGCCAUGAAGUAAUAUAAACAGAAUGGAAAGGAUAUACUGAAUUUUACGUUCGCUGGACGAACCGUUGAUGAAGUAUAAACUAAUUAAAUUUGGAAUCAGUUCAAUUAAAGCAAUUCGAAUCUUUAGAUUCGAUUCUUCUCAAAAUAAAUGAGCUAAUAUUUCCUUACAUCUGCAAGUCAGUCUCUUUAUUUCUUGCAAUUGCAAUUUUAUAUCAAGUUUUCAGAAUUGUGAGAAAAAGUCAGAACUGUAAGACAAAAAGUCGCAAUUACAAUACAUUUUAAUCUUUUUUUUUUUUUUCUUUUUUUAUCCCAUGGCAGAAACAGGUUUCUAUACAAACCCCAUUUUGCAAGCACAGAAAAAUAUUCUAAUAUAUAUAUAGAUCAGAACUCAAAACUUUCUUGUCUAAAACCAGCUAAAAGCCAGUCAGCCAAAACAUCUAGAAUGUGCCACUUUAUGAUGUGAGGAUAUAGGAUUUUCAGAAAGAUUGAAACUAAAAGACGAUGCUGUGCUGAAUAUAUUGGAUCCGAUGUCGCACCACACAAGUGUGAGUGUCUGUUUUUAUUAUGUAGUCACUAUUGCUUUGUCUGUUAUUUCCUACCCAUAAAUAUAUCAAACUUAAUUUUUGCUUAGUAAUACGCUUUGCUAAGAACUUUAUUUGGACAGCUUUAAAGGCGAUUUUCUCAAUAUUUAGAUUUUUUUGCACCCUCAGAUUCCAGAUUUUCAAAUAGUUGCAUCUCGGCCAAAUAUUGUCCUAUCCUUACAAACCAUACAUCAAUGGAAAGCUUAUUUAUAUAAUAAGCUUUAUUUUUUUCUUUCUUUUAAUUGACCCUUAUGACUGGUUUUGUGGUCCAGGGUGACAUAUUUAUUUUAAUUGAAUUAGUAUUUUUUUUCCAUACAC